CGCACUGUGGUGGAUUCGUGCUGUUCAAUUUUUCAACAUGAUCGUCCUUUUUUGUGCUUAAUUGUGCAAAAUAAUAGAUGUAUGGGGACGCGCAGUGUGGUGCCGUUGAAUAGUCGCACUGUUCUCUCUUUCUCUUCGGGGUUGGAGGAACAAUUGUCGAUCAGUCGGUUUCGGAGCGUGCACACUGGUACCCGAAAGAUGGUGAACUAUGCUUGAGCAGAAUGAAGCCAGAGGAAACUCUGGUGGAAGUUCGUAGCGGUGUUGACGUGCAAAUCACUCGUCUGACUUGAGUGUAGGGGCGAAAGACUAAUCGAACCAUCUAGUUGCUGGUUCCUUCCGAAGUUUCCCUCAGGAUAGCUGGCAUUUGUUUGUAACAAUUUUAUCCGGUAGAGCGAAUGAUUAGAGGUGUUGGGAACGCAAUGUUCUCAGCCUAUUCUCAAACUUCGAAUGGGUAAGCAAGGCGUUUUGCUUUGAUUUUACGAUGAAAUCGCCCAAUUAGAAUGUAUAAAUGCCUAGUGGGCCAAUUUUGGUAAGCAGAACUGGCGAUGUGGAAUGAACCAAAAGUCAGGUUAAGGUGCCAGACAUUGGCGCUCAUGAAAUACCAGAAAAGGUGUUGGUCGAUAUAGACAGCAGGACGGUGGCCAUGGAAGUUGGAAUCCGCCAAGGAGUGUGUAACAACUCACCUGCCGAAUCGACUAGCCCUGAAAUGGAUAGCGUUUGAGCUCCAGGCCCAUACCUGACCGUCUCAAUUACGCACUUUUUUUUUUCGGAAAAGGUGUAAUGAACGUUGAAACGGGUAGGAAAGGUCGCGGACCGUGUGCUUUGACGAGGUUUUGA
This is a non-coding RNA of Trichinella spiralis, 837 nucleotides long. The record is from Rfam. Lineage: Eukaryota; Metazoa; Nematoda; Enoplea; Trichinellida; Trichinellidae.